RNAcentral lists this ribosomal RNA (253 nucleotides) under uncultured bacterium. RNAcentral describes it as "partial 16S ribosomal RNA". It matches the Rfam family "Bacterial small subunit ribosomal RNA", at positions 524 to 776 of the family's 1533-position model. The record is from RNAcentral.
UACAGAGGGUGCGAGCGUUAAUCGGAAUUAUUGGGCGUAAAGGGAGCGUAGGCGGAUGUGCAAGUGGUAGGUGAAAUACCCGGGCUUAACCUGGGGAGGUCCUAUCAGACUGCACGUCUAGAGUAUGGUAGAGGAAGGUGGAAUUCCUGGUGUAGCGGUGAAAUGCGUAGAUAUCAGGAAGAACAUCGAUGGCGAAGGCAGCCUUCUGGGCCAUUACUGACGCUGAGGCUCGAAAGCGUGGGGAGCGAACAGG